RNAcentral lists this Y RNA (111 nucleotides) under Jaculus jaculus (lesser Egyptian jerboa). RNAcentral describes it as "Y RNA (ENSJJAG00000006608.1)". It matches the Rfam family "Y RNA". From Rfam's summary of the family: Y RNAs are components of the Ro ribonucleoprotein particle (Ro RNP), in association with Ro60 and La proteins. The Y RNAs and Ro60 and La proteins are well conserved, but the function of the Ro RNP is not known. In humans the RNA component can be one of four small RNAs -- hY1, hY3, hY4 and hY5. The record is from Rfam by way of RNAcentral. Lineage: Eukaryota; Metazoa; Chordata; Mammalia; Rodentia; Dipodidae.
GGCUGGUCUGAAGAUAGUGAGUUAUCCCAAUUAAUUGUUCGACCACUUACAGACUUAGUUCCUUGUUCUACACUUCCUCCCCUUUUCACUACUGCACUCAACUAGUCUUAA